This 345-nucleotide ribosomal RNA is filed under the name Triticum aestivum (bread wheat). RNAcentral's name for it is "partial small subunit ribosomal RNA". The record is from RNAcentral. Lineage: Eukaryota; Viridiplantae; Streptophyta; Magnoliopsida; Poales; Poaceae.
AUGCUGUGGUCGUACCUGAACUUGGGUAGUUUCUUUUGGACCAACGUGGAGGUUGCUUUAUUUAUCCUUUGGUAUAGAAUAAGGUUAUUUAUCUAUACAUUAUUCACUCAAUCUGUUUAUACGCUCUGUAGAAUUGAUGCUUACUUUAGACGCCUGCUUCUCAGCUGCUAUAUUCUUGUCAGCUGUUGGUGGAGAUUGUUCAUUCUCAGCUGCUGCCGAUGCACCUGGGUUCUUAAGUGUAUCACAGAACAGUUCAGGUUCGAAGUAUCAGGAUUUUUCACUUUCCAUGUCUACAUCAGAGCAGCAGCUGGUAUCUUAAUUGCUGCAAAUAAGUAUAGUACGUAG